AACAAGGGGGGACCUUCGGGCCUCUUGCCAUCGGAUGUGCCCAGAUGGGAUUAGCUAGUAGGUGGGGUAACGGCUCACCUAGGCGACGAUCCCUAGCUGGUCUGAGAGGAUGACCAGCCACACUGGAACUGAGACACGGUCCAGACUCCUACGGGAGGCAGCAUG
This 165-nucleotide ribosomal RNA is filed under the name uncultured bacterium. RNAcentral describes it as "partial 16S ribosomal RNA". It matches the Rfam family "Bacterial small subunit ribosomal RNA", at positions 202 to 353 of the family's 1533-position model. The record is from RNAcentral.